AAAUUGAAGAGUUUGAUCAUGGCUCAGAUUGAACGCUGGCGGCAGGCCUAACACAUGCAAGUCGAACGGUAACAGGAAGAAGCUUGCUUCUUUGCUGACGAGUGGCGGACGGGUGAGUAAUGUCUGGGAAACUGCCUGAUGGAGGGGGAUAACUACUGGAAACGGUAGCUAAUACCGCAUAACGUCGCAAGACCAAAGAGGGGGACCUUCGGGC
This 214-nucleotide ribosomal RNA is filed under the name Escherichia coli. Its description in RNAcentral is "partial 16S ribosomal RNA". It matches the Rfam family "Bacterial small subunit ribosomal RNA", at positions 1 to 214 of the family's 1533-position model. Lineage: Bacteria; Pseudomonadati; Pseudomonadota; Gammaproteobacteria; Enterobacterales; Enterobacteriaceae. The record is from RNAcentral. RNAcentral also lists the same sequence under 1 other name.